Molecule: unclassified non-coding RNA, 302 nt
Filed under: air metagenome
Description: partial contains small subunit ribosomal RNA, internal transcribed spacer 1, and 5.8S ribosomal RNA
Rfam family: Eukaryotic small subunit ribosomal RNA (bases 1-46)
Source: RNAcentral
AAGUCGUAACAAGGUUUCCGUAGGUGAACCUGCGGAAGGAUCAUUAUCGAGUUUUGAAGUGGGGUCUCUUGAGCUGGCAUUGCAGGUGCUUGGAGAUCCCCCACUCUCAUCCACUCAACCCCUGUGCACCUUGAACGAAAGUUGGUUGCCGGACCUCCCUCUUCGAGGGAGCAGCCUUCUAUGAGGCCGGGUCUGUCCGACUGACUUCGUUUAUUACAAACUCUUAUGAUGUCUUGUAGAAUGCAUUGCCUCUUUGUGGGCGAAAUGUAAUACAACUUUCAACAACGGAUCUCUUGGCUCUC